GGACCACUGGACAGGGGUCCUGCCCUUUCGGGGCAGCUGUCCGGUCAAGGCCAUACGGACAGCCGGGUCCACUGCCGA
The submitters of this non-coding RNA (78 nucleotides) gave its source as unclassified sequences. The record is from Rfam.